CCGGUGCCCCAGAAAAACAAGGUGAUAAAGGGGAACCUGGUGCUAGAGGAAACCAAGGUGAAAAAGGUGAAACUGGUGCCAAAGGAAAACAAGGUGAAAAAG
Molecule: long non-coding RNA, 102 nt
Organism: Bombina bombina (fire-bellied toad)
Lineage: Eukaryota; Metazoa; Chordata; Amphibia; Anura; Bombinatoridae
Exons: 3
Source: RefSeq, a predicted model, not a curated record